Molecule: long non-coding RNA, 349 nt
Organism: Stegodyphus dumicola
Lineage: Eukaryota; Metazoa; Arthropoda; Arachnida; Araneae; Eresidae
Source: RefSeq, a predicted model, not a curated record
AAAGAGCGAUAAUUGUUUGGCUUCCUUUGAGUCAAGUGCAAAUCUGCUUCGAAAGAAAAGGUGGUAAAACUUUAUUUUCAGGAUGAUCUCCAAUUACAUUGUAUCCGCAGUCAUGCUUGCUGCAUAUGUGACCUAUGCAGCAGCUGCUAAAGGUUAAAACUCCAUAAAAUGAUACUCCAAAUUAGCAGCACAAUGGGAAACGACUUUACCGAAGACUUGGCUUUAAUACCAUAGCAACGCAUUCCAAAUACACCUCUCAAAAUUUCAUAUUUCGCCAGCAUGUGUAAUACUUUAUCUCCAAAUAAUUGUAGACUAGUAAUGAAACAAUAAAAAAAACAUUUUGCUGUGA